Molecule: unclassified non-coding RNA, 141 nt
Filed under: soil metagenome
Description: partial internal transcribed spacer 1
Source: RNAcentral
AAGUGAGGACAUGUUUGUGUCCGCCUGUCUUGUGCAACGUUUAUUGUGGAAUUCUGGCACAUUUUGUGUGUGCCAGAUGCCUUUUUUUCUACUCAUUUCAUUUUAUUACUGUAUUCUAACGACAAUCAAAAAGAACCUUGA